CCUACGGGCGGCUGCAGUGGGGAAUAUUGGACAAUGGGGGGAACCCUGAUCCAGCCAUGCCGCGUGUGUGAAGAAGGCCCUCGGGUUGUAAAGCACUUUCAGUGAGGAAGAACGCCUGGUGGUUAAUACCCAUCAGGAAAGACAUCACUCACAGAAGAAGCACCGGCUAACUCCGUGCCAGCAGCCGCGGUAAUACGGAGGGUGCGAGCGUUAAUCGGAAUUACUGGGCGUAAAGCGCGCGUAGGUGGCUUGAUAAGCCGGUUGUGAAAGCCCCGGGCUCAACCUGGGAACGGCAUCCGGAACUGUCAAGCUAGAGUGCAGGAGAGGAAGGUAGAAUUCCCGGGGUAGCGGUGAAAUGCGUAGAGAUCGGGAGGAAUACCAGUGGCGAAGGCGGCCUUCUGGACUGACACUGACACUGAGGUGCGAAAGCGUGGGUAGCAAACAGGAUUAGAUACCCGUGUAGUC
RNAcentral lists this ribosomal RNA (465 nucleotides) under Vreelandella stevensii. Its description in RNAcentral is "partial 16S ribosomal RNA". It matches the Rfam family "Bacterial small subunit ribosomal RNA", at positions 338 to 795 of the family's 1533-position model. Lineage: Bacteria; Pseudomonadati; Pseudomonadota; Gammaproteobacteria; Oceanospirillales; Halomonadaceae. The record is from RNAcentral.